AGUGAACGCUGGCGGUAGGCCUAACACAUGCCAGUCGAACGGCAGCACAGUAAGAGCUUGCUCUUACGGGUGGCGAGUGGCGGACGGGUGAGGAAUACAUCGGAAUCUACUUUUUCGUGGGGGAUAACGUAGGGAAACUUACGCUAAUACCGCAUACGACCUACGGGUGAAAGCAGGGGAUAUUCGGACCUUGCGCGAUUGAAUGAGCCGAUGUCGGAUUAGCUAGUUGGCGGGGUAAAGGCCCACCAAGGCGACGAUCCGUAGCUGGUCUGAGAGGAUGAUCAGCCACACUGGAACUGAGACACGGUCCAGACUCCUACGGGAGGCAGCAGUGGGGAAUAUUGGACAAUGGGCGCAAGCCUGAUCCAGCCAUACCGCGUGGGUGAAGAAGGCCUUCGGGUUGUAAAGCCCUUUUGUUGGGAAAGAAAAGCAGCAGGUUAAUACCCCGCUGUUCUGACGGUACCCAAAGAAUAAGCACCGGCUAACUUCGUG
Molecule: ribosomal RNA, 492 nt
Filed under: uncultured bacterium
Lineage: Bacteria
Description: partial 16S ribosomal RNA
Rfam family: Bacterial small subunit ribosomal RNA
Source: RNAcentral